This is a long non-coding RNA of Solanum tuberosum (potato), 3514 nucleotides long. RefSeq lists it as uncharacterized. The record is from RefSeq and is a predicted model, not a curated record. Lineage: Eukaryota; Viridiplantae; Streptophyta; Magnoliopsida; Solanales; Solanaceae. The transcript is spliced from 6 exons.
UAACAAUUUAUCUCAAUAAGAGAAAAGCUAAAACAAAAUUGACCAAAAUGAAAAAUAUUGAAUAAAUAUAGCCUAUAUUGGGACUAUUUCUGACUAGAUUCUUGACAGAAGUAUAUCCAAUACAACUUGAUGACUACAAAAAGUUGAUGAACAAAUAAUAAUAAUACUAGAGAGAAAUGCAAGUAUUUAGCAAGGGAAAUUUGAUGAUGUACAGUGUGAUGACUUAGCUGAUUUUAUAAGAUGAAUUCUUGGGAGCUGAUUAUCAAAAUAGCGUAGGAAGUAGAUACGCAACAAUAGGGAAGAGUUCGUGGGCGGACUUGGUAGAGGAGGAUAAAGCUCUACCAGGUGAAAGCCUUUCGCCAGGAAAUACAUGGAGUAGAAUUGUAGGGGCAAAAAACUAGUGGAAGAAGGAGUAGAUCUACGGGGAGAGGAAAACCCUAGUUAGAAUAUGAAAAUAACAGGUGAGGAUAUUCAAGAGGAGGUAGAAUACCUAGGGAACAAUUGUGGUAUGCUAUGUACUAGGCUCAAAUCCACCACAAGCAGUCAUGGAGGGGUAUUUUAGACGGAUUCCAAAGAAAUUAGGUGUUGCUAAAGUAGCCCAAGUAAACAGAGGAGUAUUUAUGAUGUGGUUUGGUAGUGUUGAGAAUUGGGGGAAAGCGGUGGAGGAAGGGGUCCGCCAAAUGUUUGAUAUAAAGGCAGUAAUAGUGAAAUCAUGAAAAUCUAACAUUGAUGUAACAAAACAAAGGGUGGACAAAAGUGUCAAUUGGGAUUGAUGGUGGGAUUAAAUAUCACGUACCGGAGGAAAAAUGCACUAACAAAAUAACAGGGAUGAUAGGGAACCUUAUCAAAGCAAAUAGAGCAACUACACAAAAGGAGAGGCUCAUGACGUUUGCAAGAGUACUUAUAGAGGUGCCUCUUAACAAGGAAUAUCCCAAAUAGAUAAUGUUCGAGAAUGAAGUAGGGAAGAUAAUCCAUUAACAGGUGGAGUAUGAAUGAAAAUCGAUACUAUGCGACAAAUGUAAAAAUUUUGGGCAUGAAAUAAGAUAGUGCAGAAAACAGAUAAGAGAAGAAUAAAAAGGAAAGGUAGAUAGGAAUGAGGAAGAUAAGGGGAGGAAGUUAAAACAAACGAUCAAUAUAAGAAUGUACAGAAGAAAAUAGAAGAACCAGGAAUAAGAGGGGAACCUAGUAGAGCAGGAACUUGGUGGGGGAAACUACAAAUUUCUAAGGCAUUGGAAAGUGAAGAACAAGGGAAUAAGAUCACAAACCUAAGCAAUGUUAAGACUAGCAAUAUGCAAGAUAUGGGGAGGGAUGGGGAUACCCCAUCCUCAAUAGAUAGGAUUGGUUUUCUGGAACUCCUGGGGAUUAAAUAGUACUGAUAAGAAAAAAGAGGUGCAUGUCUUUCUGCAUAACUCAAAAAUUAGACUAUUUAGUUUUCUGAAGACUAGAAUUAAAAGGGCCAAAGCUAGUAGGGUUGCUCUUAAUCUUUGUAAAGGAUGAGCAUUUACCACUAAUCUAACAGUUCACCGAAGAGGUAGAACAUGAUUUUUUUGGAAACCGGAAACAUAUACGGUUGAUUUGGUAAUAAGGCAACUAAUGCAUAGCAAAGUCAAACAUAGAAGGAUGGGGGAAACUUUAAUGUCACUAUGAUUUAUGGGUAUAAUGAACAAGCUAUGAGAAGCACUAUGUGAAGUGAAAUAACAAGAAUACGGGAAAACUUAAAUGGAGCAUGAACAAUAAUGAAGAAUUUUAACAAUGCAAUAAAUACAAAUGAAAGGGUGGGGAGACAUGUGAAAAUUGUAGAAAAGAGAGAGUUUAGGAAAUGUGCUGAAGAGUGUGAGGUUCAAGAUCUUAAAUCAGCAGGGUCAUUCUUCACUUAGAACAAUAAGUUAAAAAGGGAAGAUAGAGUAUGGAGUAAGAUAAAUAGGGCAUUGGUGAACAUAGAGUGGAAAACAUAACUACCAGCAUCAGAAGUGCAACUUAUGAAUGAGGGAAUCUAUGAUCACUGCCCAACAAUUAUAAGCUAGGAGGAUGGACACAUAAUUGGAAGGAAACAAUUCAAGUAUUUUUUUAACAUGUGGAAAAUGACCCCAGAGUAUAAAUCCAGGAUAAAAGCAAGUUGGGAAAAAAGAAUAAAGGAUCGAAACAUGUUUUGAUUAGUUGGGUAAAAUGAUGGCAGCGAGAUAAAGCUUCAUAUUCCAGGCGAUUCGACUUCCACAUCUCACUGUGUUGAAAGUUAUGCGGAGAUUUGGAGUUUUGUCACUAGAUCCACCUCAAGCUCUCACCAGGUGAUAUGCAGCUCAGUCCAAGGAAGAAUUCUUCCAUCUCAGCCUCUCUUCUUAGCUCUCCAUAACAUCAGGUUUGUUCCUCACAAGAUAGUUAUUGAAGGCAUUGCUAGUUGGAUUCGUAGUAAAUUUGAAUUGGCUAGACCCUUAUGAAAGAAGUUUCCAGAAUCUACUCAUGAUAUGUGGUUUGAGGAACUCAAGAAGAAAUUCAAAUGGCUCCCUCACUAUACUGAUGUUAUACGACGUAAUUUUGAGAAAAAGGCAUCUGCAAGGAUGGCACAAUUUUUUCAAGAUGUUAGGAAAAACUUGCCUCUGAAGCCACAUUGAAUGAGGGAUGCAGUAUUCAAGGAGAUGCAGAGGCACUGGGAGUCUCCUUCAUUCAAGAUAAAGUCCAAACAAAAAAAAAUUGUGAUUUAAAUGCUGGUGCAUCACUUCAUACAGGUGGUUGUAUACCUCAUCAAGUGAUCUAUAAGAGAAUGAAAGAAUCUACUGAAAAAGAUCCAUCAAUUUCAGAAUUUUAUUUUCAAACUCAUCGCAAGAAAAGUGAUAAAAGUUGGUUAAAUGAGAAAGCUGAACUGCUUAUAAUAAUUUUGAAAGAAAGAAACAAGAACUAUUAGCUUCUCAAAGUGCAUCAACUGUGGAAGGAGAAACUAAUUCAGCUGGUCAACCUUCUCAAUUAACAGAAAUGGAUAUCUGAGUGCAAUCUGUUGGUGGAAAGAAAAAAGGAAAAGUUAAAGGUCUUGGCUCCCUGGGUCGAUCUGUAAAGGCAUCAUCUAAAUAAUCAACAUCGGCUUUAUCGAGAGAAAUUGAUGAGAUGAUUAAAGCUUAGGUAAAUGCUUCCAAUGUUGACUUAUAUGCUCAAUUGCAGAAAGAUCGUCACAAAAAUAAGAGGAUGAGAAAGGAAUUAGACUUAUUGAAGAAGCAUGUAUACAAUGCAUCAUCUUCAAAUGUGCAAAUCAUCUCAAGAAGACAAUCAAGCUUAUGAGGAUGAAAGUGGUGAUGACUCUGAUAGCAUGAAUGACAGUGGUUUUGUCCAUGACUCUGAUAGCGUGAAUGAAAGUGACUAUAAUAAGGAUUGAGAUAGUUGAUAGUACUAUUUAGGAUUCAAAUUUGAAUUGUAUUUUGUUUUUGUCCAUUUAAGAAUCAUAAACUAUUGAUCUUGCGGGUUUCUUUUUGUAGGAAUUAUGAAUUAUGAAUUCUGUUUUUUGUUGAAUGAAAGUAAUAUAAUGUGA